UUNUUCCUCCCCUCCUCUCCGUUAGAACAGUGUGUUUAGUGAAGAACAGAACAAAGAAGCGCCGCAAGACGCGGAGGAAGAAGCCCAGCGAGACUGAACAACUCGAGACAAACCCUCCUCUUUUUCUUCUCCAUUUUUUCUUUCUCGUCCCAGAACCAGCUCCGGUUCCAGCCGGGUUCAUCCCACCAUCUUCCUCCUACCCUCACAUGCACGUCUCCUGUCUGUCCCCUGAGGGUCCUCCCCGUCCACCGGGGGGCAUUCUACCCUUCCUCUCUCUCCGUUAAUCAUCCUCUGCGACUUUUUUUUAACUAUUACUCUUUCUUUGCUGCAUCAUCUGUUGCCAAGUCCGCUCGCCUGUAUUUGUACCACACAUCUGCAAGGCUUUAUUUAAAGAUGAAACUUGUUUUUGUUCCUGUGUGUGUUCAUGAUGCGCGUCGUCUCCAUGCUGUCGGUUUGAUACUCUUCAGUCCUCAUGAUUAGAGACUCCAGCUGAGUCUUCAGGGUUCCCUCAUCUCAUCCUGUCUCUUCCUCCUCUUCUUCCUCCUCCUGUUGGGUAUGUGUAACGUGAAUCUGAUUUGUACUACUGGAUAUUCUCACCGGAGCCACAAGUACCAUCUGUAUUCUUUCUGAAACGCAGCAUGGAAAACAUUAAACUUCAAACUGAAAACUUCAA
This is a non-coding RNA of Poecilia reticulata (guppy), 673 nucleotides long. NCBI's taxonomy places the organism in Eukaryota, Metazoa, Chordata, Actinopteri, Cyprinodontiformes, Poeciliidae. The record is from RefSeq and is a predicted model, not a curated record.